RNAcentral lists this non-coding RNA (90 nucleotides) under Streptomyces malaysiense. RNAcentral describes it as "sodF sRNA". It matches the Rfam family "sodF sRNA". From Rfam's summary of the family: Identified in Streptomyces coelicolor. It is produced from sodF mRNA by cleavage of about 90 nucleotides from its 3'UTR. The record is from Rfam by way of RNAcentral. Lineage: Bacteria; Bacillati; Actinomycetota; Actinomycetes; Kitasatosporales; Streptomycetaceae.
GCGUCCUGCCUCGUGAUCGUCUUCUCACCCUUCACGGCGGCAGGCGGAUGAGGGGGCCCUCCGCGAGGACGUGACUCGCGGAGGGCCUUC